This 791-nucleotide ribosomal RNA is filed under the name Citrobacter amalonaticus. Its description in RNAcentral is "bacterial SSU rRNA". It matches the Rfam family "Bacterial small subunit ribosomal RNA", at positions 40 to 821 of the family's 1533-position model. The record is from RNAcentral. Lineage: Bacteria; Pseudomonadati; Pseudomonadota; Gammaproteobacteria; Enterobacterales; Enterobacteriaceae.
CGGCAGGCCUAACACAUGCAAGUCGAACGGUAACAGGAAGCAGCUUGCUGCUUUGCUGACGAGUGGCGGACGGGUGAGUAAUGUCUGGGAAACUGCCCGAUGGAGGGGGAUAACUACUGGAAACGGUAGCUAAUACCGCAUAAUGUCGCAAGACCAAAGAGGGGGACCUUCGGGCCUCUUGCCAUANGAUGUGCCCAGAUGGGAUUAGCUUGUUGGUGAGGUAACGGCUCACCAAGGCGACGAUCCCUAGCUGGUCUGAGAGGAUGACCAGCCACACUGGAACUGAGACACGGUCCAGACUCCUACGGGAGGCAGCAGUGGGGAAUAUUGCACAAUGGGCGCAAGCCUGAUGCAGCCAUGCCGCGUGUAUGAAGAAGGCCUUCGGGUUGUAAAGUACUUUCAGCGGGGAGGAAGGGGUUAAGGUUAAUAACCUUAGCCAUUGACGUUACCCGCAGAAGAAGCACCGGCUAACUCCGUGCCAGCAGCCGCGGUAAUACGGAGGGUGCAAGCGUUAAUCGGAAUUACUGGGCGUAAAGCGCACGCAGGCGGUCUGUCAAGUCGGAUGUGAAAUCCCCGGGCUCAACCUGGGAACUGCAUUCGAAACUGGCAGGCUUGAGUCUCGUAGAGGGGGGUAGAAUUCCAGGUGUAGCGGUGAAAUGCGUAUAGAUCUGGAGGAAUACCGGUGGCGAAGGCGGCCCCCUGGACGAAGACUGACGCUCAGGUGCGAAAGCGUGGGGAGCAAACAGGAUUAGAUACCCUGGUAGUCCACGCCGUAACGAUGUCUAUUGGAG